RNAcentral lists this ribosomal RNA (62 nucleotides) under Citrobacter freundii. RNAcentral's name for it is "partial 16S ribosomal RNA". It matches the Rfam family "Bacterial small subunit ribosomal RNA", at positions 1 to 62 of the family's 1533-position model. Lineage: Bacteria; Pseudomonadati; Pseudomonadota; Gammaproteobacteria; Enterobacterales; Enterobacteriaceae. RNAcentral also lists the same sequence under 299 other names. The record is from RNAcentral.
AAAUUGAAGAGUUUGAUCAUGGCUCAGAUUGAACGCUGGCGGCAGGCCUAACACAUGCAAGU